CUGCUACUGGAAACAAUACAAUCGGAUACAAUGUGCUUCAUCAACAUGGUUUACCUUCUGCUAAAUAUUGGGGUUUGCAAAAAGUCAAAGUUUUGGAAGUUUAGGUCAGGUAGAAGGUAUUGUUGCUCUCACAGCUCGUCGAAGUGGGCUGCAUCCUGGUACUCGAUAUUUGGCUAGGGGCAUUAAUUCCUGUUUUAGCACAGGUGGUGGCAGCCAAUGCAAAUCAUGUCUUAACCACUAGGGGCAUUAAGAAGACUACUAGUGUGCUAUGGGGUUUAGGUUGAAGACAGUGAACUUGCUGAUGUUGCUACUGUUAGUGUUGGGAACAACAAUGAAAUAGGAAAUAUGAUAGCUGAUUCCAUGAGUAAAGUUGGUCGAAAGGGUGUAAUUACCUUUGAGGCAGGAAACCGAAAUAAGGUAUCAAAUCUCCAUCGUAGCAACGAUGAACCUGUUUAGAGUAGAAUGCUUAUUUUCACUGUUGAUUAAUUAUUGAAAAAUCCUUAAGAUCCUGGUGAUAUAUAAGAUUUGCAUUUUGCAAUUCAGUGUAACAAAAUUUUAACAUCAUUUUUCAGUGAAACGAAGAAAGUUGUAUUUA
Gossypium arboreum is the source of this 595-nucleotide long non-coding RNA. RefSeq lists it as uncharacterized. The record is from RefSeq and is a predicted model, not a curated record. Lineage: Eukaryota; Viridiplantae; Streptophyta; Magnoliopsida; Malvales; Malvaceae. The transcript is spliced from 3 exons.